Molecule: unclassified non-coding RNA, 213 nt
Filed under: plant metagenome
Description: partial contains small subunit ribosomal RNA, internal transcribed spacer 1, and 5.8S ribosomal RNA
Source: RNAcentral
UUUCCGUAGGCGAACCUGCGGAAGGAUCAUUCAUAAUAAGUGUUUUAUGGCACUUUUUUAAAUCCAUAUCCACCUUGUGUGCAAUGUCAGGGUUGAUUUUUCUCUCGAGAGGAUCAAGCCCAAACAUCAACUAUAUCUCAACUCUUUGUCUGAAAAAUAUUAUGAAUAAAACAAUUCAAAAUACAACUUUCAACAACGGAUCUCUUGGCUCUC